This 253-nucleotide ribosomal RNA is filed under the name uncultured bacterium. RNAcentral's name for it is "partial 16S ribosomal RNA". It matches the Rfam family "Bacterial small subunit ribosomal RNA", at positions 524 to 776 of the family's 1533-position model. The record is from RNAcentral.
UACGGGGGGGGUAAGCGUUGUUCGGAAUUACUGGGCGUAAAGGGCUCGUAGGCGGCCAACUAAGUCAGACGUGAAAUCCCUCAGCUUAACUGGGGAACUGCGUCUGAUACUGGAUGGCUUGGAUCCGGGAGAGGGAUGCGGAAUUCCAGGUGUAGCGGUGAAAUGCGUAGAUAUCUGGAGGAACACCGGUGGCGAAGGCGGCAUCCUGGACCGGUAUUGACGCUGAGGAGCGAAAGCGUGGGUAGCAAACAGG